This 810-nucleotide ribosomal RNA is filed under the name uncultured bacterium. Its description in RNAcentral is "bacterial SSU rRNA". It matches the Rfam family "Bacterial small subunit ribosomal RNA", at positions 42 to 898 of the family's 1533-position model. The record is from RNAcentral.
GCAGGCUUAACACAUGCAAGUCGAACGCUCCGCAAGGGGAGUGGCAGACGGGUGAGUAACGCGUGGGAACAUACCCUUCGGUUCGGAAUAACUUAGGGAAACUUGAGCUAAUACCGAAUACGGUCGAGAGGCGAAAGAUUUAUCGCCGGAGGAUUGGCCCGCGUCCGAUUAGCUAGUUGGUGAGGUAAUGGCUCACAAAGGCGACGAUCGGUAGCUGGUCUGAGAGGACGAUCAGCCACAUUGGGACUGAGACACGGCCCAAACUCCUACGGGAGGCAGCAGUGGGGAAUAUUGGACAAUGGGCGAAAGCCUGAUCCAGCCAUGCCGCGUGAGUGAUGACGGCCUUAGGGUUGUAAAGCUCUUUCAUCAGGGACGAUAAUGACGGUACCUGAAGAAGAAGCCCCGGCUAACUUCGUGCCAGCAGCCGCGGUAAUACGAAGGGGGCUAGCGUUGUUCGGAAUUACUGGGCGUAAAGCGCGUGUAGGCGGGUCUUUAAGUCAGGGGUGAAAUGCCAAGGCUCAACCUUGGAACUGCCUUUGAUACUGGAGAUCUUGAGUCCGGGAGAGGUGAGUGGAACUGCGAGUGUAGAGGUGAAAUUCGUAGAUAUUCGCAAGAACACCAGUGGCGAAGGCGGCUCACUGGCCCGGUACUGACGCUGAGAUGCGAAAGCGUGGGGAGCAAACAGGAUUAGAUACCCUGGUAGUCCACGCUGUAAACGAUGGAUGCUAGCCGUUAGGCAGCUUGCUGCUUAGUGGCGCAGUUUAACACUUUAAGCAUCCCGCCCUGGGGGAGUACGGUCGCAAGGAUUAA